Molecule: ribosomal RNA, 253 nt
Filed under: uncultured bacterium
Lineage: Bacteria
Description: partial 16S ribosomal RNA
Rfam family: Bacterial small subunit ribosomal RNA
Source: RNAcentral
UACGAAGGGGGCGAGCGUUGUUCGGAAUUACUGGGCGUAAAGGGCGCGUAGGCGGCCGAUCAAGUCAGAUGUGAAAGUCCUGGGCUUAACCUGGGGACUGCAUUUGAUACUGAUUGGCUUGAAUGCAGGAGAGGAUAGCGGAAUUCCCGGUGUAGCAGUGAAAUGCGUAGAGAUCGGGAGGAACAUCAGUUGCGAAGGCGGCUCUCUGGACCAGCACUGACACUGAGGCACGAAAGCGUGGGGAGCGAACAGG